UCUAGAGUCAAUUCCAAUGAA
Molecule: non-coding RNA, 21 nt
Filed under: Caenorhabditis elegans
Lineage: Eukaryota; Metazoa; Nematoda; Chromadorea; Rhabditida; Rhabditidae
Source: RNAcentral